This 324-nucleotide ribosomal RNA is filed under the name uncultured eukaryote. RNAcentral describes it as "partial 18S ribosomal RNA". It matches the Rfam family "Eukaryotic small subunit ribosomal RNA", at positions 1470 to 1796 of the family's 1831-position model. The record is from RNAcentral.
CCCUUAGAUGUUCUGGGCCGCACGCGCGCUACACUGAUGCAUUCAACGAGUUUCUUCCUGGUCCGAGAGGAAUGGGUAACCUUUUGAAAGUGCAUCGUGAUAGGGAUAGACUAUUGCAAUUAUUGGUCUUCAACGAGGAAUUCCUAGUAGACGUAGUUCAUCAGACUGCAUCGAUUACGUCCCUGCCCUUUGUACACACCGCUCGUCGCUCCUACCGAUUGAAUGCUCAGGUGAGUCAUUCGGACUUUCAUCAUGCUGGUUUCCAGUUUUGAUGAAGGAAAGUCUUGCGAACCUUAUCAUUUAGAGGAAGGAGAAGUCGUAACA